GGAAAAACAGUGGGGUUAUGGGGGGGGGGCGCUGCCCCACGGGGCCCCAAAACUCACCCAGCAGCCGGCCCGUGCAGAGCACAGCCCCUCAAUAACACCCCACGGCCCCCACGAGGACACCGAGGCCCUGCGGAGGGAGAAACCCCAACGGCACCACAAGGGUCAGUGCCGGGGGGCCCCGAGCAGCCCCCCCGCUCCUUGGCCCUGGGGAAGGAGCGAGGAGCAAGAGGGACCCGAAGUGCCCGUGGGGGGGAGGAGGGGAGCCCCCCGACCUCCUGCUGGGGGCUGUAGGGCCUGCUGUGGGUGCACAGGGCUUGCAGUGGGGUGUGCAGGGGCAGCUCAGGGGGCUGUAGGGCCUGCUAUGGGGUUUUUUAGGGCCUGCCAUGGGUGCAGGGGGGCAGCUGGGGGGUUCAUGGAGCAGUGGCUCUGCCCUGGGAGGCGCAGAGGGCACUGGGGGCACGGGAUGGGGCCAGGGCCACAGACCCAGGCCGAAAUUCACGGCACGGAGCGGCUCCGCCACCGCAACCCAUGGCCACGGCUCGGCCCCGGGAACGGGAACGGGAGGAGGAGGAGGAGGAGGAGGAGGGACGCAGGAGCUGUGCCGGGCACCAGGAGGAAGGGCAGCCUGGAAAACGAAGCCCUGAGCGAGCUCCGAAGGGCUGAGCUGAGCCCAACCGGCUCCAGAAGCACCCAGGAGGGACGGAGCAGAGCCAGGGGCUGCUCUGUGCCCAAAUCCCCACCGUUUUCCCCUAAAAGCACCCCCAGGGGGGCAGCGCCGGGAGGAACCGGGCAGGGCAGAGCUGCUCCUGCUCCCCCAGCAAUUCCCAACCUCCCCUCGCAGGGGGAGCCACCCAAAUCCUCCCGGCCCCGUCUGGCCCCGGGCACGGCACCGAGGGGGCUGGGGGCAGGGGGGCAGAGCUCUGGGAGCAGCUCUGUGGGGUCUUUACCUCCUCCAGCUGGGCUCCGGCGGGGGCGACAGGUAGGUGGGGCCAUAGGGCGAGCUGUCGAUGUGGGGGGUGCGUUAAGGAGCCAACGGGGGCAGCCGAGGGGGCGCAGCAGCGGCGGGGGGGGGGCCGGGGGGGGGGGGGGGCCCCCAGGGGGCGGGGGGGGGGGGGGGGGGGGGUCACGAGGAACCGUCCCCUCGUCCCUCGGUGCCCCGUGCACUCACCUGGAAGUCGGAGACGCCGCUGCCGAUCUGGUUGACGUUGGGCAGCGAGCCGCUGUAGUAGGGGCCCCGGCUGUGCGCCAGCCUCAGCUUCU
RNAcentral lists this long non-coding RNA (1260 nucleotides) under Anas platyrhynchos platyrhynchos (common mallard). RNAcentral's name for it is "lncRNA (ENSAPLG00000030795.1)". The record is from RNAcentral. Lineage: Eukaryota; Metazoa; Chordata; Aves; Anseriformes; Anatidae.